GGGGAUUUAGCUCAGCGUCAUAAGCGUCUGCCUUGCAAGCAGACAGUUCUGAGUUCAAUCCCCA
This 64-nucleotide transfer RNA is filed under the name Cavia porcellus (domestic guinea pig). It matches the Rfam family "tRNA". From Rfam's summary of the family: Transfer RNA (tRNA) molecules are approximately 80 nucleotides in length. Their secondary structure includes four short double-helical elements and three loops (D, anti-codon, and T loops). Further hydrogen bonds mediate the characteristic L-shaped molecular structure. tRNAs have two regions of fundamental functional importance: the anti-codon, which is responsible for specific mRNA codon recognition, and the 3' end, to which the tRNAs corresponding amino acid is attached (by aminoacyl-tRNA synthetases). tRNAs cope with the degeneracy of the genetic code in two manners: having more than one tRNA (with a specific anti-codon) for a particular amino acid; and 'wobble' base-pairing, i.e. permitting non-standard base-pairing at the 3rd anti-codon position. Lineage: Eukaryota; Metazoa; Chordata; Mammalia; Rodentia; Caviidae. The record is from Rfam by way of RNAcentral.